This is a non-coding RNA of Taeniopygia guttata (zebra finch), 1867 nucleotides long. Lineage: Eukaryota; Metazoa; Chordata; Aves; Passeriformes; Estrildidae. The record is from RefSeq and is a predicted model, not a curated record.
ACCCCAUAUUCACUUUAUUCUGUUUUAUUUGCAGUAAGAGCAAUCCACUUUCUGUUCUGCCUCUUCUUCCUUAGCAUACAAAUAACAUUCAUUCACUUUUGUAAGUGGACUCCUUCCUCUUUACAGCAGUCUUGUUCUGAAGCAGACAAUGCUGUACUGAGUGUGCCUGGGAGAGGAGCAGCCUCCUAGAUUUUCCUUGCAAUACAUGGGACACCUGACUGAGGAAUUCCUAGUUUUCUCCAAAGUCACUCCUCUGAACAUGAAGAAGGAUAAGGCAGGGAGAAGGAGGUGGAAAGACAUGGAGCAUUUGUUUCUCCUUGCUUAAGGAGGUUGCAGAAGUUUCUGAGGGUUGGAAAGGUGUCAAAGCAAACUCAUCCUUCAGAGUUUGUUGGGGGCCAAACAUCCCUAUGAGUCACAUCUGUCCUGUUGAGCUCCUCCCUGCACAUGAUGAUAAAGAGAACCUGGUGCCUCCUUCCCUCUGUGUCUGCUGUACUCAGCUGCCCCUGGGGCUGCCAAGGAGAGAACAACUGCCUCCCAUCUCUAGAGACACAGGUACAGAGGCUGAUGCUGCCCAGCUGAGGCAGGGACAUGGCAUGUAAGAGCCCAUGAAGUGCUGUGAUGGUGGAGUCCGAGCUUGCUCUGUGCUGGAGUUCAGACAAAUCCUGCCUGCCUGGCUGAGCUGGCUGCUUGGAGCAGAAACAAAGCCAGGCAAUGAAGCAGGAAAGACCAGUAUGACACUUAUGCACGGUAGCAUAACUGUUGGCAGGCUGCGACUGCAUGUGCUGUACAUGGGGCUUUAAAGCUUGGACCUACUGAUAUGGUUAUGUUUGUCUGUAUAGAUUUUACUACAGUAAAAUAACCUUUAAGUAUACCUCAGUAUGCCAUUAAGCGAUAUGGAUAUAAUUGUUGCACAGAGCCCUUUUCAUCCUCUGUCUGUGGGGAAAGGUAUGCUGCAGUGGACACAUUUGUAAAGGAAUUAGUUCUUUGUUUGCUAGAUAUGGCACAUUUCUUAGCUCUUGCUGUGACCUUCAAACAGAAAUGGUUAGGCUUGCAGUGGUUCUUGGCUCCUGUGGGAGAUAUUUUCCUCGUCUUCAGCCAGCACCAGAGAAAGUGGUAUCUGCUGCAAGCUUGAGUUAGACUUGAAACAAAUCUAAGGGUGUGGAACACAUGUGCUCACCUGAAUAUAGGUGUCAUGACAUAUCUCUGCAUCUGAAAAUGCUGCAAUGAUGUGCUGAGGGUUUCUGCAGACAUGUGAGUGUUCAAAUCAGAGUACCAGUACCAUUCACAGUGUCUUAAGCAUUUUUCUGCCAUUUCCCACUCCUUUUUUUGGCUGCUGUGCUCCACUGUAACAGUUCUUCAUUGCCAAACCAUGCAUUCAGGUACUGAAGAUAAUUACAAGAUAAAUUAAGGGGUAAUUUUUUAAAGAGGAAAAAUUUUUACUUCAUAAUUCCCAUCCCCCCUUCUAUGCCAAAGUGGUGGGGGUCAUUUUAUUCAGCACAUCUAAAGCAUUUACCUUUAGGGGAGGAUAAAAAUAUUUCUCCUAAAAUGUGAAUAUUUAAAUAAGUAUUUUCUAAAGUCAGGAAAAGGACACCAGCUUCAUUUCUGCAUGAGCUUCUAAAGAAUUUAGCAGCAUGCUUGUGGAAGCUUAGCAAUACCUGGAUUGCUGUUUAUAGAGAGGAAUGCUGCAAGGCACAGACUGCGUACCUUAUUCUUCAACCAGAAGUGGUGAGAUACUGAGAGAGUUGUCUGUGUGCUGCCCUGUGAAGCCUUCCAAGCUGACAUAGCUGCUGGCUGGUCUGAUGCAGGUCAGCAGGUCUUAAUGGCUGCAAUUCCACCGAAGCUGUCAUUUCAAUAAAUGCUCCUUCCA